CUCUUCUCUGAUAGAAAACGUCUCUUCUUUCCCUUAACUCUCUAAUUUUCGUUUUUGAUUUUAGGGUAGCAAUAUGCAACCCCCUUUUACUCUUCUCCUUUUUUAUCUUUUUCUAUUCUAUCUCUAUCUUUUUAAUUAAAAUAGUAUGUCUCAUUUAAUCUAUAAAACCACCAAGAUUUUCUCUCUUAUUUUAUCUUAUGUAUUAUUUAAAAUAUCAACAACCACCAAAUAUUUCAAAGAUUAUCUAUACCCCCUUAACUUAAUGUCCAGACCAGUUAAUGAGAGUAUAAGACUCUUUUGCCCUUGAGCCCAAAAUAUUAAUUAAAACCAAAAGUUUACUUUAACUCUUUAUUUCUAGAAUUUGGUCCACCCCUAUUCAAUCCCAAAUCAUCUUUCUACCAUCAAUCCAACACAUCAUAUUAGUAACAACACACCACUCAAAAUAUCAUUAUAACAACAUACCAAUCAU
Molecule: long non-coding RNA, 469 nt
Filed under: Vigna radiata
Lineage: Eukaryota; Viridiplantae; Streptophyta; Magnoliopsida; Fabales; Fabaceae
Description: long non-coding RNA (VRAD_LNC005059)
Source: RNAcentral